Molecule: ribosomal RNA, 540 nt
Filed under: uncultured Acinetobacter sp.
Lineage: Bacteria; Pseudomonadati; Pseudomonadota; Gammaproteobacteria; Moraxellales; Moraxellaceae
Description: bacterial SSU rRNA
Rfam family: Bacterial small subunit ribosomal RNA
Source: RNAcentral
CUUAACUUAGCGGCGGACGGGUGAGUAAUACUUAGGAAUCUGCCUAUUAGUGGGGGACAACAUUUCGAAAGGAAUGCUAAUACCGCAUACGUCCUACGGGAGAAAGCAGGGGACCACUUGUGACCUUGCGCUAAUAGAUGAGCCUAAGUCGGAUUAGCUAGUUGGUGGGGUAAAGGCCUACCAAGGCGACGAUCAGUAGCGGGUCUGAGAGGAUGAUCCGCCACACUGGGACUGAGACACGGCCCAGACUCCUACGGGAGGCAGCAGUGGGGAAUAUUGGACAAUGGGGGGAACCCUGAUCCAGCCAUGCCGCGUGUGUGAAGAAGGCCUUUUGGUUGUAAAGCACUUUAAGCGAGGAGGAGGCUACUAGUAUUAAUACUACUGGAUAGUGGACGUUACUCGCAGAAUAAGCACCGGCUAACUCUGUGCCAGCAGCCGCGGUAAUACAGAGGGUGCGAGCGUUAAUCGGAUUUACUGGGCGUAAAGCGUGCGUAGGCGGCUGAUUAAGUCGGAUGUGAAAUCCCUGAGCUUAACUUAGGA